Molecule: ribosomal RNA, 430 nt
Filed under: Pseudomonadota bacterium
Lineage: Bacteria; Pseudomonadati; Pseudomonadota
Description: Proteobacteria bacterium partial 16S ribosomal RNA
Rfam family: Bacterial small subunit ribosomal RNA
Source: RNAcentral
UGGGGAAUAUUGGACAAUGGGGGGAACCCUGAUCCAGCCAUGCCGCGUGUGUGAAGAAGGCCUUAUGGUUGUAAAGCACUUUAAGCGAGGAGGAGGGUACUGGUAUUAAUACUACCAGGUACUGGACGUUACUCGCAGAAUAAGCACCGGCUAACUCUGUGCCAGCAGCCGCGGUAAUACAGAGGGUGCGAGCGUUAAUCGGAUUUACUGGGCGUAAAGCGUGCGUAGGCGGCUAAUUGAGUCGGAUGUGAAAUCCCCGAGCUUAACUUGGGGAUUGCAUUCGAUACUGGUUAGCUAGAGUGUGGGAGAGGAUGGUAGAAUUCCAGGUGUAGCGGUGAAAUGCGUAGAGAUCUGGAGGAAUACCGAUGGCGAAGGCAGCCAUCUGGCCUAACACUGACGCUGAGGUACGAAAGCAUGGGGAGCAAACAGG